This 496-nucleotide ribosomal RNA is filed under the name uncultured bacterium. Its description in RNAcentral is "partial 16S ribosomal RNA". It matches the Rfam family "Bacterial small subunit ribosomal RNA", at positions 28 to 507 of the family's 1533-position model. The record is from RNAcentral.
GAUGAACGCUGGCGGCGUGCCUAAUACAUGCAAGUCGAGCGAACAGAUGAGGAGCUUGCUCCUCUGACGUUAGCGGCGGACGGGUGAGUAACACGUGGAUAACCUACCUAUAAGACUGGGAUACUUCGGGAAACCGGAGCUAAUACCGGAUAAUAUAUUGAACCGCAUGGUUCAAUAGUGAAAGACGGUUUUGCUGUCACUUAUAGAUGGAUCCGCGCCGCAUUAGCUAGUUGGUAAGGUAACGGCUUACCAAGGCAACGAUGCGUAGCCGACCUGAGAGGGUGAUCGGCCACACUGGAACUGAGACACGGUCCAGACUCCUACGGGAGGCAGCAGUAGGGAAUCUUCCGCAAUGGGCGAAAGCCUGACGGAGCAACGCCGCGUGAGUGAUGAAGGUCUUCGGAUCGUAAAACUCUGUUAUUAGGGAAGAACAAAUGUGUAAGUAACUAUGCACGUCUUGACGGUACCUAAUCAGAAAGCCACGGCUAACUACGUG